AUUGAACGCUGGCGGCAGGCCUAACACAUGCAAGUCGAGCGGAUGAAGGGAGCUUGCUCCUGGAUUCAGCGGCGGACGGGUGAGUAAUGCCUAGGAAUCUGCCUGGUAGUGUUGGAUAACGUCCGGAAACGGGCGCUAAUACCGCAUACGUCCUGAGGGAGAAAGUGGGGGAUCUUCGGACCUCACGCUAUCAGAUGAUCCUAGGUCGGAUUAGCUAGUUGGUGGGGUAAAGGCCUACCAAGGCGACGAUCCGUAACUGGUCUGAGAGGAUGAUCAGUCACACUGGAACUGAGACACGGUCCAGACUCCUACGGGAGGCAGCAGUGGGGAAUAUUGGACAAUGGGCGAAAGCCUGAUCCAGCCAUGCCGCGUGUGUGAAGAAGGUCUUCGGAUUGUAAAGCACUUUAAGUUGGGAGGAAGGGCAGUAAGUUAAUACCUUGCUGUUUUGACGUUACCAACAGAAUAAGCACCGGCUAACUUCGUG
Molecule: ribosomal RNA, 484 nt
Filed under: uncultured bacterium
Lineage: Bacteria
Description: partial 16S ribosomal RNA
Rfam family: Bacterial small subunit ribosomal RNA
Source: RNAcentral